Molecule: ribosomal RNA, 503 nt
Filed under: uncultured bacterium
Lineage: Bacteria
Description: bacterial SSU rRNA
Rfam family: Bacterial small subunit ribosomal RNA
Source: RNAcentral
GAUCCUGGCUCAGGAUGAACGCUAGCUACAGGCUUAACACAUGCAAGUCGAGGGGCAGCAUGAACUUAGCUUGCUAAGUUUGAUGGCGACCGGCGCACGGGUGAGUAACACGUAUCCAACCUUCCGUUUACUCAGGGAUAGCCUUUCGAAAGAAAGAUUAAUACCUGAUAGUAUGGUGAGAUUGCAUGAUAACACCAUUAAAGAUUUAUUGGUAAACGAUGGGGAUGCGUUCCAUUAGGUAGUAGGCGGGGUAACGGCCCACCUAGCCUGCGAUGGAUAGGGGUUCUGAGAGGAAGGUCCCCCACAUUGGAACUGAGACACGGUCCAAACUCCUACGGGAGGCAGCAGUGAGGAAUAUUGGUCAAUGGACGAGAGUCUGAACCAGCCAAGUAGCGUGAAGGAUGAAGGUCCUACGGAUUGUAAACUUCUUUUAUAAGGGAAUAAACCCUCCCACGUGUGGGAGCUUGUAUGUACCUUAUGAAUAAGCAUCGGCUAACUCCGUG